RNAcentral lists this ribosomal RNA (779 nucleotides) under uncultured Propionigenium sp. RNAcentral's name for it is "bacterial SSU rRNA". It matches the Rfam family "Bacterial small subunit ribosomal RNA", at positions 67 to 862 of the family's 1533-position model. The record is from RNAcentral. Lineage: Bacteria; Fusobacteriati; Fusobacteriota; Fusobacteriia; Fusobacteriales; Fusobacteriaceae.
CUGGAAUUCACCUUCGGGUGAUAGUACGGUGGCGGACGGGUGAGUAACGCGUAAAGAACUUGCCCUCUAGACUGGGACAACUGUUGGAAACGACAGCUAAUACCGGAUAUUAUGAGAUUCUCGCAUGGGAAACUUAUGAAAGGCUAUAUGCGCUAGAGGAGAGCUUUGCGUGCCAUUAGGUAGUUGGUAGGGUAAUGGCCUACCAAGCCGAUGAUGGCUAGCCGGCCUGAGAGGGUGAUCGGCCACAAGGGGACUGAGACACGGCCCUUACUCCUACGGGAGGCAGCAGUGGGGAAUAUUGGACAAUGGACCAAAAGUCUGAUCCAGCAAUUCUGUGUGCACGAUGAAGGUUUUCGGAUCGUAAAGUGCUUUCAGGUGGGAAGAAAAAAAUGACGGUACCACCAGAAGAAGCGACGGCUAAAUACGUGCCAGCAGCCGCGGUAAUACGUAUGUCGCAAGCGUUAUCCGGAAUUAUUGGGCGUAAAGCGCGUCUAGGCGGCCUUUUAAGUCUGAUGUGAAAAUGCGGGGCUCAACUCCGUAUUGCGUUGGAAACUGGAAGGCUAGAGUAUCAGAGAGGUGGGCGGAACUACAAGUGUAGAGGUGAAAUUCGUAGAUAUUUGUAGGAAUGCCGAUUGGGAAGCCAGCUCACUGGAUGAAUACUGACGCUGAAGCGCGAAAGCGUGGGGAGCAAACGGGAUUAGAUACCCCGGUAGUCCACGCCGUAAACGAUGAUCACUAAGUGUGGGGGGUCGAACCUCCGUGCUCAAGCUAACGCGAUA